AGAGUUUGAUCAUGGCUCAGAGCGAACGCUGGCGGCAGUAACACAUGCAAGUCGAGCGGGCGUAGCAAUACGUCAGCGGCAGACGGGUGAGUAACGCGUGGGAACAUACCUUUUGGUUCGGAACAACCCAGGGAAACUUGGGCUAAUACCGGAUAAGCCCUUACGGGGAAAGAUUUAUCGCCGAAAGAUUGGCCCGCGUCUGAUUAGCUAGUUGGUGAGGUAACGGCUCACCAAGGCGACGAUCAGUAGCUGGUCUGAGAGGAUGAUCAGCCACAUUGGGACUGAGACACGGCCCAAACUCCUACGGGAGGCAGCAGUGGGGAAUAUUGGACAAUGGGGGCAACCCUGAUCCAGCCAUGCCGCGUGAGUGAUGAAGGCCCUAGGGUUGUAAAGCUCUUUUGUGCGGGAAGAUAAUGACGGUACCGCAAGAAUAAGCCCCGGCUAACUUCGUGCCAGCAGCCGCGGUAAUACGAAGGGGGCUAGCGUUGCUCGGAAUCACUGGGCGUAAAGGGUGCGUAGGCGGGUCUUUAAGUCAGGGGUGAAAUCCUGGAGCUCAACUCCAGAACUGCCUUUGAUACUGAAGAUCUUGAGUUCGGGAGAGGUGAGUGGAACUGCGAGUGUAGAGGUGAAAUUCGUAGAUAUUCGCAAGAACACCAGUGGCGAAGGCGGCUCACUGGCCCGAUACUGACGCUGAGGCACGAAAGCGUGGGGAGCAAACAGGAUUAGAUACCCUAGUAGUCC
Molecule: ribosomal RNA, 741 nt
Filed under: uncultured bacterium
Lineage: Bacteria
Description: bacterial SSU rRNA
Rfam family: Bacterial small subunit ribosomal RNA
Source: RNAcentral